CCUAGGGAGGCAGCAGUCGGGAAUAUUGCGCAAUGGAGGAAACUCUGACGCAGUGACGCCGCGUGCAGGAAGAAGGUUUUCGGAUUGUAAACUGCUUUAGACAGGGAAGAAAAAAGACAGUACCUGUAGAAUAAGCUCCGGCUAACUACGUGCCAGCAGCCGCGGUAAUACGGAGGAUGCGAGCGUUAUCCGGAUUUAUUGGGUUUAAAGGGUGCGUAGGCGGAUUUUUAAGUCAGCGGUAAAAUGUCCGGGCUCAACCCGGGCCGGCCGUUGAAACUGGGGAUCUUGAGUGGGCGAGAAGUAUGCGGAAUGCGUGGUGUAGCGGUGAAAUGCAUAGAUAUCACGCAGAACUCCGAUUGCGAAGGCAGCAUACCGGCGCCCGACUGACGCUGAGGCACGAAAGCGUGGGGAUCGAACAGGAUUAGAUACCCGAGUAGUC
RNAcentral lists this ribosomal RNA (439 nucleotides) under uncultured bacterium. Its description in RNAcentral is "partial 16S ribosomal RNA". It matches the Rfam family "Bacterial small subunit ribosomal RNA", at positions 338 to 795 of the family's 1533-position model. The record is from RNAcentral.